GAAAGGGGAGAGCAUUGAAUUUGAUACAAACACACAAGCUGUGAACAGUCUCAGAUUCACAAUUGCACUUACACUCCUUCAACAGACUGAUGACCUCACCGAUGUUUGCCAUCACUGUGGGGAAGAGGAACACGAGACAAAUGUGGACUGGAUACAGUGUGAUGAUUGUCUCCGAUGGUUCCA
Melanotaenia boesemani (Boeseman's rainbowfish) is the source of this 183-nucleotide long non-coding RNA. RefSeq lists it as uncharacterized. The transcript has 3 exons. Lineage: Eukaryota; Metazoa; Chordata; Actinopteri; Atheriniformes; Melanotaeniidae. The record is from RefSeq and is a predicted model, not a curated record.